UUUACAAACAAGUCUUGGUAUAGAGAUGGGUCUUGAUGGGUGGGUGGGGAUCAGCAACAGAUGGUUUAGAAUCGAAAAUCAAACCUUUCUUCAGGUGUCUUUUGGUUUAGGUUCACCGAAUCUUCUUAUUAAACCUCUCUCUCUUUAAAGUACAAUAACAACUAUCAGUUCAGUUGUUUGACCCAAAAAAAAAAAAACUAUCAGUUGUAAAUGAUACAUUUAUACAGACUCGUUCGUUAACUAAUCAAAUAUAUAUAUAUAUAUAUAUAUAU
Molecule: long non-coding RNA, 272 nt
Filed under: Capsella rubella
Lineage: Eukaryota; Viridiplantae; Streptophyta; Magnoliopsida; Brassicales; Brassicaceae
Description: long non-coding RNA (CRUB_LNC002044)
Source: RNAcentral